This 1748-nucleotide long non-coding RNA is filed under the name Nicotiana benthamiana. Its description in RNAcentral is "long non-coding RNA (NBEN_LNC039921)". The record is from RNAcentral. Lineage: Eukaryota; Viridiplantae; Streptophyta; Magnoliopsida; Solanales; Solanaceae.
ACUCAUCUCCUUCACACCCCACUCAUCUCCAGAAACCUUAGCUGCGCCGCCAUGAAAUCACUAGGCUACCAGUGGCCGCGCCGAUGCCAAACACCACCAAAUUAACACCCCUAGAGCACCUAACCACCCUCGUUACGAAUCCAUAAACCGUUUGCCUCGAAUUAGCCUAGUACUUCUCGAAUCUUCAAUCGAUGAUUCGAGCCAAACAUGAACUUCGUCCUAAACAAGCCCAAAUCGAUAGUAGGUAGUCUACCGACCUCCCUCAUCUCGAGUCUGGGGCUAUUUCUCUUUGAAUCUCAACAAGACACCUACAAUUUCAUAUCUAAGGUUCGUGCUUUUCUAGACUGUGUUUUCAAUUUGCCAAGACGAAUUAAGUUCAAGUUAAAGUUAUGGGUUUAUCCCCUGUGGGGUGAACCUGUAACAUUAACUCGAAGUUAAUUUCGAAGACCCCGUUUGGAGAUUGGCUAUCAGUAAGUUUUCUGUAUCUCCGCCCCUUUGGUUUCUAUUUUAGUAAAUAUAAUUAGUCUAUUCGAUUAAGCAUGGUUGUAGUUUUUCAGUCGAGUUUACAUCAUUGUAUUUCUUCUUUUGAUUUGUUAUAUGUGUUUUAGUUUAAUUUACUUUAGAUUGAGUCUCAUCUUUUUGUCUUAAUUUCUGGUUCGAUUUUUGUUUAUGGAAUGUCUGGGGAUGCUCAAUAGUUAAGUGCUAAUUAAUCACUAGUGCAAUUAGGUUUUUUCUUUACCAUGUUUGCUGGUGUUAAAUUUGGAAUUCGUUAAGUAUUAGUGUAUUUUCAGUCAUGGUUAGUCUUAACUAGUUUAUUGCUAGGUUAAAUUGAUUGGGUAUUUUAGUUAACCAUAGUUAAAGUUUAGCUGGGGUGAGGGAUUUGGUUCAACUAAUUCUGAUUGCAAUUUUCAGAUUGUUGGAAGGGUAAUUUGGGUAUGAAAAUUGGUAGUAUCUUGAGAAAUAGUAAUUGCAAUGUAGGACUAAGGAUAGUAUGGUAUUUUUGGGGGUUAUAAGAGCACCCUAGAUAUGCUAGAUUGGGGGUGAAACUGUAGCUUUUAACUAUUGGUAAUACUUGUUUAGGUAGCAAGUUAGAAUUAUAGGUCUUAAAUAAAAAAUAAAAUAGGGACUGAUUUGAAAACCUUUUGGCUGAUUUUUCUUUCUUUUUUGCCUAUAUAAAGGCAUCAAAUGCCUUGAGGUAGAGGUCUUCAAUUUUUCAGUCUAAAAAUUUCGUAAGAAAUUUGAUUUAUUCAUUCAUUCUAGCUUCAGAUUAGGUUCGGCAAUUAGAUAUACAAAAAUACAAAAAUACAAAAAAAUACAUAGAAGAAAAUCAGAAAAACAACAAGAUUUCACUGUUCCGUUAGAGUAAAUUAGUGGAAUUCCAGAUUUUGCUGUAGAUCUCUUCAUCUCUGUUUCAAAGUUGAGUAUCAUUAGCUUCAAUGGAGUUCUGGUCGUGAUAUUUAAACAAUAGGAGGUCUAUUUAAACUUUUGGGGUGUUUUGCAUUUCCUGAGUUUCCUGUUUGUUCAAGCUUGUGGGGUGUUUGCUUGGAUUGAUUGGUUUUCAAAAUUUCACUCGUGGUUAAGCUGGGUUCUGGCAUGUCGACCGCUGCUCGUAUGAACUGCUGCUAACUAUUUUUUCUUCUUCUUAAUUCCUAAAAACCAGGUACAUUUCUGAUCUCCAAGUUGAUAUAAUUUUGAAGUGGAAGCAUGAAAUGAAUGGGAUCUAUAUCAUGGCUGCAACUCUGUUUUCC